UAGACAGCCCUGAAUGCCCUCUUUUGCCAGAAACAGGUUCAGCAUGGGCGGCAGCAGUGAAAGCUUCCUUCAUACAGUACCCUCCAAUGUGCCUCAGCCCUGUCAUGGAGGGACCACUAGAGAGGAGAACGGAGUUUGGUUUCCAUGAGCUCUGUGUGGCUCGA
Chelonoidis abingdonii (Abingdon island giant tortoise) is the source of this 164-nucleotide unclassified non-coding RNA. NCBI's taxonomy places the organism in Eukaryota, Metazoa, Chordata, Testudines, Testudinidae. The record is from Ensembl.